RNAcentral lists this transfer RNA (73 nucleotides) under Stegodyphus mimosarum. It matches the Rfam family "tRNA". From Rfam's summary of the family: Transfer RNA (tRNA) molecules are approximately 80 nucleotides in length. Their secondary structure includes four short double-helical elements and three loops (D, anti-codon, and T loops). Lineage: Eukaryota; Metazoa; Arthropoda; Arachnida; Araneae; Eresidae. The record is from Rfam by way of RNAcentral.
GCCUUCAUGGUGUAAUGGUCAGCACACUCGACGCGUAUUCGAGAGAUAGGUGGUUCGAGUCCCGGCGAGGGCA